Molecule: ribosomal RNA, 484 nt
Filed under: uncultured bacterium
Lineage: Bacteria
Description: partial 16S ribosomal RNA
Rfam family: Bacterial small subunit ribosomal RNA
Source: RNAcentral
AUUGAGCGCUGGCGGCAUGCUUUACACAUGCAAGUCGAACGGCAGCGCGGGCUUCGGCCUGGCGGCGAGUGGCGAACGGGUGAGUAAUGCAUCGGAACGUGCCCAGUAGUGGGGGAUAGCCCGGCGAAAGCCGGAUUAAUACCGCAUACGACCUGAGGGUGAAAGCGGGGGACCGAAAGGCCUCGCGCUAUUGGAGCGGCCGAUGUCGGAUUAGCUAGUUGGUGGGGUAAAGGCUUACCAAGGCGACGAUCCGUAGCUGGUCUGAGAGGACGACCAGCCACACUGGGACUGAGACACGGCCCAGACUCCUACGGGAGGCAGCAGUGGGGAAUUUUGGACAAUGGGGGCAACCCUGAUCCAGCCAUGCCGCGUGCGGGAAGAAGGCCUUCGGGUUGUAAACCGCUUUUGUCCGGGAAGAAAUCCUCUGGGCUAAUACCCCGGGGGGAUGACGGUACCGGAAGAAUAAGCACCGGCUAACUACGUG